UUGGACAAUUCAGCAUGACUUCUAUAGGAAGAGACCUCUGAAGGACAUGGGGUGCAAUCCCCUGCUCAAAGGAGAGUCAUGUAGCUGGUUUCACAAGGCCAUGUGCAGCUGGGUUUUAACUGUCUUCAAACAUGGAGAUUCCACAACCUUUUGGGACAACCUCUUCAAUAUUUGGUUAUGGCUAUUCGGAUGCUACAAACAGCACAGAUUUCCUGGAACAGAGAUCAACCUUUUCACAGAAUGCUUUCUUAGUAUCCCAGAUCUCCUCAGGUUCAGUUCAGAAGACAAACAUUACUAAAAUAAAGUUUCAUUUUUUCCUUUGGGACAACUUUAUUGUGACAGGAGAAGAAAGAGGAGAAAAGUUAGUAAGUGAAUUUGCUUGUCCUAAGGCAUCUACUGUGAGAAACUAAAGAUGGCCCAGUGCAUUAAUAUGCAGUAUCUCAAAAAUUAUCAAUGAAUCACCAUCUUAACUGCUGUGCACCACCUGGAAGCUCCCGGCAAUAUAACUCCAUGCUGAUCCAACCUCAGCAGAGCUUUUAGAUCUGACUUGUGUUUGCCUGAUUUAUUUCUACAGCAGAAAGGGGGAGACAGGAUGAAAUUAUCUCACUUGUAUCUAGAAUGGAUUAUUUAGAUUAGAAUAGAGACUUUAUCAAGUAAAUAAAUAAAAUUAUGUCUUAGGAAUAUGUGUUCAUGUGUAUUGCUGUGUGCAUAUAAUGUACAUCUGCUCCUGAUAUUCUGGCACACAGCAAACAGAAAAUAAAAUAAAUAAAUAAAUAUAAAAUAUCAGAGUUUUCCCCUCACCUAAAAGGCUCUGUGACCUCUCAGUAAGUCUAAGAACUGAGGAAAAUUAUUCCCAAAACUCUUAUUUACCUGUAGCAUGACCUGUGUGUCUCCAUGACAUAACGUGUAAUAAUAUAAUGAUUACAAGCACUCUAAUAAAGCCAUUUAUAUUCACU
Molecule: long non-coding RNA, 956 nt
Organism: Gallus gallus (chicken)
Lineage: Eukaryota; Metazoa; Chordata; Aves; Galliformes; Phasianidae
Exons: 3
Source: RefSeq, a predicted model, not a curated record